RNAcentral lists this ribosomal RNA (254 nucleotides) under uncultured bacterium. RNAcentral describes it as "partial 16S ribosomal RNA". It matches the Rfam family "Bacterial small subunit ribosomal RNA", at positions 524 to 776 of the family's 1533-position model. The record is from RNAcentral.
UACGUAGGGGGCGAGCGUUGUCCGGAUUUAUUGGGCGUAAAGAGCUCGUAGGCGGUUUGGUAAGUCGGGUGUGAAAUCUCCACGCUCAACGUGGAGGGGCCACUCGAUACUGCCAUGACUCGAGUCCGGUAGAGGAGUGUGGAAUUCCUGGUGUAGCGGUGAAAUGCGCAGAUAUCAGGAGGAACACCAAUGGCGAAGGCAGCACUCUGGGACGGUACUGACGCUGAGACGCGAAAGCGUGGGGAGCAAACAGG